This 600-nucleotide ribosomal RNA is filed under the name Micrococcus luteus. RNAcentral's name for it is "bacterial SSU rRNA". It matches the Rfam family "Bacterial small subunit ribosomal RNA", at positions 95 to 709 of the family's 1533-position model. The record is from RNAcentral. Lineage: Bacteria; Bacillati; Actinomycetota; Actinomycetes; Micrococcales; Micrococcaceae.
GUGGCGAACGGGUGAGUAACACGUGAGUAACCUGCCCUUAACUCUGGGAUAAGCCUGGGAAACUGGGUCUAAUACCGGAUAGGAGCGCCUACCGCAUGGUGGGUGUUGGAAAGAUUUAUCGGUUUUGGAUGGACUCGCGGCCUAUCAGCUUGUUGGUGAGGUAAUGGCUCACCAAGGCGACGACGGGUAGCCGGCCUGAGAGGGUGACCGGCCACACUGGGACUGAGACACGGCCCAGACUCCUACGGGAGGCAGCAGUGGGGAAUAUUGCACAAUGGGCGCAAGCCUGAUGCAGCGACGCCGCGUGAGGGAUGACGGCCUUCGGGUUGUAAACCUCUUUCAGUAGGGAAGAAGCGAAAGUGACGGUACCUGCAGAAGAAGCACCGGCUAACUACGUGCCAGCAGCCGCGGUAAUACGUAGGGUGCGAGCGUUAUCCGGAAUUAUUGGGCGUAAAGAGCUCGUAGGCGGUUUGUCACGUCUGUCGUGAAAGUCCGGGGCUUAACCCCGGAUCUGCGGUGGGUACGGGCAGACUAGAGUGCAGUAGGGGAGACUGGAAUUCCUGGUGUAGCGGUGGAAUGCGCAGAUAUCAGGAGGAACAC